RNAcentral lists this ribosomal RNA (412 nucleotides) under uncultured bacterium. Its description in RNAcentral is "bacterial SSU rRNA". It matches the Rfam family "Bacterial small subunit ribosomal RNA", at positions 355 to 776 of the family's 1533-position model. The record is from RNAcentral. RNAcentral also lists the same sequence under 2 other names.
UAGGGAAUAUUGCGCAAUGGGCGGAAGCCUGACGCAGCGACGCCGCGUGAGCGAAGAAGGCCUUCGGGUCGUAAAGCUCUGUCCUUGGGGAAGAAGGCGAAAGCUUGACGGUACCCAAGAAGAAAGCCCCGGCUAACUACGUGCCAGCAGCCGCGGUAAUACGUAGGGGGCGAGCGUUGUCCGGAAUUACUGGGCGUAAAGGGUGCGUAGGCGGCCUUUUAAGUCAGAUGUGAAAGGCUGCGGCUUAACCGCAGGACUGCAUUUGAAACUGGAAGGCUUGAGUGUCGGAGAGGGUAGUGGAAUUCCCAGUGUAGCGGUGAAAUGCGUAGAUAUUGGGAGGAACACCAGUGGCGAAGGCGACUACCUGGACGAUAACUGACGCUGAGGCACGAAAGCUAGGGGAGCAAACAGG